This 246-nucleotide ribosomal RNA is filed under the name uncultured Bacillus sp. RNAcentral's name for it is "partial 16S ribosomal RNA". The stretch from base 1 to 207 matches the Rfam family "Bacterial small subunit ribosomal RNA", at positions 338 to 537 of the family's 1533-position model. The record is from RNAcentral. Lineage: Bacteria; Bacillati; Bacillota; Bacilli; Caryophanales; Bacillaceae.
CCUACGGGAGGCAGCAGUAGGGAAUCUUCCGCAAUGGACGAAAGUCUGGCGGAGCAACGCCGCGUGAGUGAAGAAGGUCUUCGGAUCGUAAAGCUCUGUUGUUAGGGAAGAACAAGUAUCGGAGGAAAUGCCGGUACCUUGACGGUACCUGACGAGAAAGCCACGGCUAACUACGUGCCAGCAGCCGCGGUAAUACGUAGGUGCCAGCAGCCGCGGUAAUCCGUAGGUGCCAGCAGCCGCGGUAAU